This 639-nucleotide ribosomal RNA is filed under the name uncultured Lachnospiraceae bacterium. RNAcentral's name for it is "bacterial SSU rRNA". It matches the Rfam family "Bacterial small subunit ribosomal RNA", at positions 92 to 745 of the family's 1533-position model. Lineage: Bacteria; Bacillati; Bacillota; Clostridia; Lachnospirales; Lachnospiraceae. The record is from RNAcentral.
UGAGUUGCGAACGGGUGAGUAACGCGUAGGUAACCUGCCUGGUAGCGGGGGAUAACUAUUGGAAACGAUAGCUAAUACCGCAUAACAUUGACUAUUGCAUGAUAGUCAGUUAAAAGGUGCAAUUGCACCACUACCAGAUGGACCUGCGUUGUAUUAGCUAGUUGGUGGGGUAACGGCUCACCAAGGCGACGAUACAUAGCCGACCUGAGAGGGUGAUCGGCCACACUGGGACUGAGACACGGCCCAAACUCCUACGGGAGGCAGCAGUGGGGAAUAUUGCACAAUGGGGGAAACCCUGAUGCAGCGACGCCGCGUGAGCGAUGAAGUAUUUCGGUAUGUAAAGCUCUAUCAGCAGGGAAGAAAAUGACGGUACCUGACUAAGAGGCCCCGGCUAACUACGUGCCAGCAGCCGCGGUAAUACGUAGGGGGCAAGCGUUAUCCGGAUUUACUGGGUGUAAAGGGAGCGUAGACGGCAUGGCAAGCCAGAUGUGAAAGCCCGGGGCUCAACCCCGGGACUGCAUUUGGAACUGUCAGGCUAGAGUGUCGGAGAGGAAAGCGGAAUUCCUAGUGUAGCGGUGAAAUGCGUAGAUAUUAGGAGGACACCAGUGGCGAAGGCGGCUUUCUGGACGAUGACUGACG